RNAcentral lists this long non-coding RNA (4463 nucleotides) under Triticum aestivum (bread wheat). Its description in RNAcentral is "long non-coding RNA (TAES_LNC004245)". Lineage: Eukaryota; Viridiplantae; Streptophyta; Magnoliopsida; Poales; Poaceae. The record is from RNAcentral.
AGAUCCCCAUGCUCUGCUCCUUCCUCCCUCCCCUCCCCUCUGGCAAGAUCCAGCGUGCGUCCUCCCUCUCCUCGAUCUAGAUCGGGGCACCUCGUCGCCCCGCCUUCGUCUCCCUCUGUCUCCCACCUGAUGGAGCCCGCGGUGGGGGGAAGCGAGGGGCCAAACACCCGCUUCCAACACACAAGGUCUCGGCUUCCCCUCCCAUCGCCGCACCACUCGUCCGCUAGCUCCCCACGCAGGCGGAUUUGGAUCGAGGCGGCCGUCGUCGGCGGCGGCAGCGGGCUGGGUACCAUGAGCGCUGUGCUCGCCAUCUGACACCAUCCUCCAGUGGUGGGGAUUCAACAUCGCCGUCAUCAACAAGCGGGUAUUCUAGGUAUCCCCUUCUCCCCUCUCGCAUCUCAUCUUACCACUGCCCAGACCAGGAUGCCACCACGCUUGCUCAGAUCUGCGUUUCAAGAUGCCACCAGGCUCCACUUCUUGACCAGAUUUCGUAAAUGUGCCGCCAGAUCUUGCCACACUGGGCAUCAGGACCGCUGGAUGCUUCUCUCACGGUGGUCAAGCCAAGCUCUCCUACGGUGGUUAGAACGGGCGUCGUCAACCCUGCCGCCCCCUCUUCCGCCGGGUCUCCCAAGAGGUCGUGCAUCCUGCCGCGACCACCUCUACUACGUGACGGUGGUGGCCGACCUGCAAUGCGACCGCUGCAUCGCCAGUAACCUCUUCGGUGAGCACUUUACCUCUGCCUCCCUCCUCUGCCUAGAUCCCGUGACUGAGCCACACUCUGUAGCAUGUAGAUUACUGCUUGUAUGGCCAUGAGGAAUGAAAUAAUUUUGCAGCUAAUAAUUCUAGUUUCUUGUUGGAGGAAUUGCUGCACCACUAGUUGUUUCUAUUGUGUGCUGGACAGUCGAUGUGGAUAGCCUGCAUGCUGUUUCUUAGGACAUUAAGCUACGGAAGGAUAAACUGACAUAAGUAUGCUAGUCUGAAGGGUCGAUAACUCACAUUUGUUUCUGAAUUUAGUUGGUUUAUCUGUCUGUGGUCCUCAAUGUAUUAAAUGACAGCCAAAGGUAUCCAUCUAUAGAGGCUUAUCUACUAACUGUUGGACCUUGGAGGCUUAUAGUGCGAUGAAAGCCAAAUUUAUCUAACUAGCCAGUCGACAGGCUAAAACAACUAGCUAUAAAAUGACAUCAAGUUCUGGUUUACAUGCUAUUCUCGUCGUUCAUGCCGACAGACCUUCUGUUGUAGUGUUUAGAGUAGAUUGAGUCUGCCAGCCCUCCUUUUUGUUUUUGUUCUUAUUUUGGACAGAUGCUUGGGGUGCAUACUUUCUAGAAUCUGCAUUUGGAUUUGCAGUUCGCAUUGUCGAAGAAAAUUGUCGAUUGUUUGAUUGAUGUUCUGACUUUUAUGUGGACCAGUCGUCCAUUCUCUAAAUCAUUCUUUUAAUCCUGCUACCCUUUUUGUAUCCAUGUACUGUUUAUCUUGUUUAAGCAUUAGUGUAUACUUUUCUUUCAGCAAUGGCAACACAAGCAGGAACCUUGGCUACUCCUCGUUUAAGUCCCCAAGUGGUAGGGUUCUCUGUUCAUGGGAGUCACCAUCUAGGCAUGCUUGAUGCUUCACCAGAAUGCUGCAUUGUUCUUUAGCUGUCGAUUGUCUGUGUAGAUUGACUGUAUCGAGUUGAGGGCUUGAGGCAGGUUGUAGGUGAUUAGAACAACCACCUGUUAAGUAAGAUCAGUUGUACUGUAUGCUCUGAACAUAAGCUUGUGCUGCUGCCAGUGUAGUGUAUGCUCUGAACACAAGAUCCUUUACUUGCUCUGGUUUGGUUAAGACUGAUGAUGCCGUGGAUAAGAAAACAAUUUAAAAGGUCUGUUGAAACAAGGUGGAAGCAUGUUUUUUCUUGCAACGUACCCUAAACCCCUAAACCCUUUUUAUUUGAACUUGUUAGUUAUGUUCUGGAGUCUGGAAUUUUUGAAUCAAUAUCUAUCUGAUUAAUGCAUGCCUUGUUUUGUUUUUUAGUUUGUUGCAAAACAUAUAUCUGGUGUAUCUGAUUAGUUAUGUUGUAAAAGAAUGCUUGUCUCUGACACUGUUAUUCUUACGUUGAUAUAUGUGCCCAGGUUUGUGUGUUUUGAAUCAAUAUCUAUCCGAUUAAUUAAUGACCAUGGUGAGCUAGAUCCAAACAAACAAGACACUUACAUUAACUUGGCACUUUGAGUCCUUGUAAUUCUGAUAGUGUGGAACUAUAUUUUGUACACAUAGUCAACUAGUUUUCGUUUUAUAUUUGCUUGCUUAUGUGGAACUAUAUUUUCUCAUUUUUCUAAUUAUGACAUGGAUGAUAUGAAAUAUCAGAAUUGUUUCUGUUACAUGGUGUGCUGCAGGAAAGCCCCUGUGUAGGUUUAUUGUCUCGUAAUUGGGCAAUUAUUUUCUUGCAGGGGGCCACCCGUUCUAGCUCGCUUUGACCCUCUUUUGCUCUGUAGUGGUCUUGGUACAUGAAAAGCAGGUCCUUUUAAAUGUUUUGCUUCCUUGGUUGCAUUCUGCUGUACACUCAAAAAUAUUUUCAAUUUAGUGACAAGCAAACAAUAAAAUAGUCAAAAGGCUUUUAUUUAAUGUGCUUUUCGAAAAUGACAAUGUGUUGUGAUGUUCUCCUCUUUCUGUUGACAUGUAUGUUGAGUAAUAUCAAGCCAUAAUUAUAGUCACUCCAAGACAUGCUCAAAUGUAGUCGCACGUACAGAUUUGUGUGGCUGAGGUACAGUUUUAAGAUGAGAUACAUAUAUAUGGAACAUGAAAGUAUUACCGUUUGUUAGGACAUGAUGACUGUUUGUUUACUACUUUAUGAUUUUGUGUAGAGUUGUGUCCUUCUUGUCCCCUUUUACCCAAGGCCAUCUUGUUGUGUCAAUGGCUGUGUUGCCGUUUCAAGUUUUGUGUAUGUGCAUAUGUACAUAGCAGUAGACUAGACUGUUGUGAUCGUAUAUUACCUUCAUCCCUUCUUAGAUUUAUCUAGAUACGGAUGUAUCUAACACUAAAAUGUGUCUAUACAUCCGUAUCUAGACAAAUCUAAGACAAGAAUUUUGGGACGGAGGCAAUGUUUUCGUGUUGUUGAGUCGUUCUGGGGUAGCGACUCUUGACGAGUUGUGCCUGGCUGAUCGACUAGUCUCUACUAGUCGAGAGGUUGAGUCGACAUCUGGCAGUGCAGCUCGUCGACUAGUCGCGUGGAUGGAGGGAGUACUUGCUUUGCAGCCCGACAAGACAAUAUUGUGAUUGCUGGAAACUGAACUCUCUUUUAUGUUUGGUUGAUGCAGUUCCUUCCAUUCAUUUAUUUGUUUCUUCGAUUUGGAUGCAACAGGUUCCCUUCAUGAACGAGGACAUGGGCAUGUACCUCGACGAUGAGCUCAUCCACCACUACCACCUCGACUCCGCGUGCAAGGUCAAUUCCUCUCUCUCGUCUGUGAGGUUUUUUUUUCAAGUUUUGUCUUCUCCGUUGUAGCCUGCUAGUUUCUAUUCUGGUCCUGAAACCAAACUAGGUAGGAUGGCCUUGUGACCUCCUGAAUGUCGAGGCUUUGGUUGUCAUAUCGUGUUUGGUUGAUCCUGUAUGAUAUGUACUCGCUUGAUGGUCACCUAUUAGCUAAGGUUCUCAUAUCAUGUUUGGUGCUCAUAUGUGCUUGCUUGAUGGUUCUCAUAUCAUGUUUGGUGGAUCCUUUAUCAUGUUUGGUUCUCAUUAGCUAAGAUUGUUAUGUUUUGCUACUGAAUCGUAUUUUAUCAGCCUGCACGUGAUCAAGCUCACUCUUAUUAUUAAUUGCCAACAAUUGCUAAUACACACAGUUUUCCCAUGUUAUUAUCGAUGUUCUACUCUAGGACGGUUUCUAGACACUCGCAUUGUGUGUGCUCCUCUUCACACUAGACUCUUUAGUUUCUAUCUCAUGUUCAUAGCGUUCUAGUUUGUCGACGACAUAGUAUCCCCUAUGAUCUCUUAGUGAAAUGAGAGGUUUGAUUGAUGCUGUAUGGGAUUGGCUAGUUUUGCUUAAUGCCAUAUGUCUUAUGCAAUCAGAUUACAAUUCUGUUUGUUAUUGUAAUAUAAAAAAUAAUCGUGUUGUCAAAAUUUUCACAGUGCGUGCCUUUUAUUUCUUUGUUUGAUUCUUUCCCUUGUAUUCAAUAUGCUUCUAAUGCCUGAUCCUUUCAUUUUUGUUGUGGCAUCUUUAUUUUCACAGGUGUUGUGUGUCCUGGAAGAUGGAAGAGGAAGAAAGCUUAUUUUUGUUGAACUAAAUUUCCUGUAUUUUGUUUUGUUGUAUGUAUCAUUUGAUAGUUUUGUAUAGGAACAAGUGAUACUAUUUUGAAGGGCUUUAUGGCCGGUGAUGUAAACAUAUUUAGUGCUGAAAUAUGAAAUUAUUUGCAAAAUUUCUUGAAAAGGAGGAUCAUUUGUAUGAAUAUGCGAAUGGGCUGAAAAGAGUAUUGGACCAACUCCUGGAUUGAAUUAUUAUUUG